Molecule: ribosomal RNA, 253 nt
Filed under: uncultured bacterium
Lineage: Bacteria
Description: partial 16S ribosomal RNA
Rfam family: Bacterial small subunit ribosomal RNA
Source: RNAcentral
UACGUAGGGGGCAAGCGUUGUCCGGAAUCAUUGGGCGUAAAGAGCGUGUAGGCGGCCCGGUAAGUCCGCUGUGAAAGUCCAGGCUCAACCCUGGGAUGCCGGUGGAUACUGUCGGGCUCGAGUCCGGAAGAGGAGAGUGGAAUUCCUGGUGGUAGCGGUGAAAUGCGCAGAUAUCAGGAGGAACACCGAUUGCGAAGGCAGCUCGCUGGAACGUUACUGACGCUGAGACGCGAAAGCGUGGGGAGCAAACGGG